RNAcentral lists this ribosomal RNA (1342 nucleotides) under uncultured bacterium. Its description in RNAcentral is "bacterial SSU rRNA". It matches the Rfam family "Bacterial small subunit ribosomal RNA", at positions 28 to 1398 of the family's 1533-position model. The record is from RNAcentral.
GAGGAGCGCUGGCGGCGUGCCUAACACAUGCAAGUCGAGCGAUUCUCUUCGGAGAAGAGCGGCGGACGGGUGAGUAACGCGUGGGUAACCUGCCCUGUACACACGGAUAACAUACCGAAAGGUAUGCUAAUACGAGAUAAUAUGCUUUUAUCGCAUGGUAGAAGUAUCAAAGCUUUUGCGGUACAGGAUGGACCCGCGUCUGAUUAGCUAGUUGGUAAGGUAACGGCUUACCAAGGCGACGAUCAGUAGCCGACCUGAGAGGGUGAUCGGCCACAUUGGAACUGAGACACGGUCCAAACUCCUACGGGAGGCAGCAGUGGGGAAUAUUGCACAAUGGGCGAAAGCCUGAUGCAGCAACGCCGCGUGAGCGAUGAAGGCCUUCGGGUCGUAAAGCUCUGUCCUCAAGGAAGAUAAUGACGGUACUUGAGGAGGAAGCCCCGGCUAACUACGUGCCAGCAGCCGCGGUAAUACGUAGGGGGCUAGCGUUAUCCGGAAUUACUGGGCGUAAAGGGUGCGUAGGUGGUUUCUUAAGUCAGAGGUGAAAGGCUACGGCUCAACCGUAGUAAGCCUUUGAAACUGGGAAACUUGAGUGCAGGAGAGGAGAGUGGAAUUCCUAGUGUAGCGGUGAAAUGCGUAGAUAUUAGGAGGAACACCAGUUGCGAAGGCGGCUCUCUGGACUGUAACUGACGCUGAGGCACGAAAGCGUGGGGAGCAAAAAGGAUUAGAUACCCUGGUAGUCCACGCCGUAAACGAUGAGUACUAGCUGUCGGAGGUUACCCCCUUCGGUGGCGCAGCUAACGCAUUAAGUACUCCGCCUGGGAAGUACGCUCGCAAGAGUGAAACUCAAAGGAAUUGACGGGGGACCCGCACAAGUAGCGGAGCAUGUGGUUUAAUUCGAAGCAACGCAAAGAACCUUACCUAAGCUUGACAUCCUUUUGACCGAUGCCUAAUCGCAUCUUUCCCUUCGGGGACAGAAGUGACAGGUGGUGCAUGGUUGUCGUCAGCUCGUGUCGUGAGAUGUUGGGUUAAGUCCCGCAACGAGCGCAACCCUUGCCUUUAGUUGCCAGCAUUAAGUUGGGCACUCUAGAGGGACUGCCAGGGAUAACCUGGAGGAAGGUGGGGAUGACGUCAAAUCAUCAUGCCCCUUAUGCUUAGGGCUACACACGUGCUACAAUGGGUGGUACAGAGGGCAGCCAAGUCGUGAGGCGGAGCUAAUCCCUUAAAGCCAUUCUCAGUUCGGAUUGUAGGCUGAAACUCGCCUACAUGAAGCUGGAGUUACUAGUAAUCGCAGAUCAGAAUGCUGCGGUGAAUGCGUUCCCGGGUCUUGCACUAAGGGCCCGUC